This 501-nucleotide ribosomal RNA is filed under the name uncultured bacterium. RNAcentral's name for it is "partial 16S ribosomal RNA". It matches the Rfam family "Bacterial small subunit ribosomal RNA", at positions 899 to 1397 of the family's 1533-position model. The record is from RNAcentral.
ACUCAAAUGAAUUGACGGGGGCCCGCACAAGCGGUGGAGUAUGUGGUUUAAUUCGAUGCAACGCGAAGAACCUUACCAAGGCUUGACAUCCUAGGAACCUGCCUGAAAGGGUGGGGUGCCUCUCGGGGAGCCUAGAGACAGGUGGUGCAUGGCUGUCGUCAGCUCGUGUCGUGAGAUGUUGGAUUAAGUUCCGCAACGAGCGCAACCCUCGUCGUAUGUUGCCAGCACGUAAUGGUGGGCACUCAUGCGAGACUGCUGCAGCAAUGUGGAGGAAGGUGGGGAUGACGUCAAGUCAGCAUGCCCCGUACGCCUUGGGCUACACACAUACUACAAUGCCAGGAGCAAACAGUUGCCAACCCGUGAGGGGGAGCUAAUCUGAGAAUGCCUGGCUCAGUGCGGAUCGUAGGCUGCAACUCGCCUACGUGAAGUUGGAAUCGCUAGUAACCGUCGGUCAGCAUUACGACGGUGAAUACGUUCCCGGGCCUUGUACACACCGCCCGU